Papaver somniferum (opium poppy) is the source of this 1517-nucleotide long non-coding RNA. RefSeq lists it as uncharacterized. NCBI's taxonomy places the organism in Eukaryota, Viridiplantae, Streptophyta, Magnoliopsida, Ranunculales, Papaveraceae. The record is from RefSeq and is a predicted model, not a curated record. The transcript is spliced from 2 exons.
AAUCUUUAGAUAACAUAAAUGCCAUUAACUCAUCGUUAAUUAUUAUUUUAAUUCAUGUCAUCCAGUUACGAUACUUAACCCUUUUGACGAGAUAAUUAGUUCACAACGUGUACUUAGAUUUUAUCGUUCUGUCAGAAGCUCAGGAAGAAUUUCAAGAAAAAGGAAAUCACAAGUUUUUUUCUCGUUCCCCUCUGAAAUAGUAAAACCCUAAAAAGAAAAAACCAGUUUGAACGGCAGCAUCUGAGUAAACUCCUUCGGGAUUUGCCGGGGGCUAAAUCGGAAACGUGAGAUGGGGAUUAGGACAUGGAUUUGUAAGGAUCUAAUUUUAAUUUGUUUGUAGUGGCGUUUUUGUACCAAUCUUUCUAUUUUUUGUGUGAGAUAAGAAAGCUUUUUGCUUUCAUUCUAUCUCGGGGUUACAGGGUACUAGGAAAGGAUUUUAAGCUUGUAAGGUCCGCCCAAAAAUCUUUGCUUUCUUUUUUGGUCCGCCCAAAAAUUGUUUUCUUAUUUUGUUUUCAAAACUCUUCUUAGUUAUAAGAAGUGAUCUUCGUUUUCAAUGAAAACUGGUUUUCUAAAACUUCUGUAUUUUAAAAAACUCAUCUUUAAUCUUCUCAAAGUUGUUGGCUUCAUUUUUCAAAAAUUUUGUUUUUCAAAUCUUCUUUAUUUUCUUCCUUUGUUUUUCAAAUCGGUUUUUCUCCAAGUAUUUUAACAAAAGAUAAUUUUUCCUUCUUUACCCUGUAGCGUCUUUCCGUUCUUGUGUUUGGUUUGUUUCUAAUCUUAUGUUGACCUCUCAACCCCCUGAAAGAAAGAUCUGUUUUACCUUGUGAUUGUCGACGCCUGUAAUGCUGCUUAUUUCAGUUUUGGGAGCUUAAUUUUAUGUUAAAUAGGUGUUCUAAAAUCUCUUAAGUGAAAUCCAUGUUUUGAUCUUUUUGUAAUGUUUAUUUCCCUAAUCGCGUCUCCAAAGUGAAGCCCCCAGCAGGAAAAAUGAAACCCCUUCUAUACUUGCUUGAAACAAAUCUUGCUCUUGUUCUUAACCUUUCACUGUCCUGGUCUUACGACCUUCGUUUCUGCGACUUGAAAAAGUCACAGGUUGGCCGAUUCUCUGCUGAGAAAAUUGGCUUGAUCUCUCUUUGCUUAAUUUCUCUAUCAAGGAGACCUCUUCGGAGGGCACGGGAUCAAUCAGGGUGUAUCAUUUUCUCUUCGGAAUAUGUUGUUCUCACUAUUUUGAUAGAUUUAUCACUUGGGUUGGAUCUUGCGGUGGAUGAAGUAAAAGGAAGCACAAUAGGAGGCGAAAAAACCUCUUGUCGGGCGAUUGAUGUUAUUUAUCUUUUAAUCAAUGUAAUCUUCGGUUUUAGUUUCUGUAAGAAAUCUUGUUCUCGAUUUGCAAUCGAGUAUUUUGAUCUUCUUGGUAUCCGGUAUUCCAAUGUUUGUAUCCCUUUUAGUCAAAGGCAAAUGUAUCCAAGUAACUGUUGGUUUAAUUAAUAUAUUACUUAGGACUUUCCAAGAAAAGAAAAAAAAAA